GCCCCGAACCCCAAUUCCAAGAAAAUGGAGAAAACCUUCACACUCCUUCAUACAAUUGUCACUGCAACUGUCUUCUCUGCUGUUUCCGGAUGGUACGGAUUCAUGUUCGGAAGAGAAUCUGCUCGCAAAGAACUCGGAAGUUUGAUCGAAGACCUUCGCCGCCAGAAUCCCAACUCCGAUCCGCCACAUUCACCUCCGCCUCCACAUGCUUGAAGUUGAAUUGAUUUGGGGUGCUUGGAUCAAGGUUGAUGGCAUCAAGUGGGCAGUGAGAAAAACCACCUUCAUCCAUAUAGCUUGGGACUGAGAAAAGAAAUGUCUUCAGGGCUUUCACAAAACGCUCUUCUGUGGGGGGCAUAUUUGACCAUGUUCUGAAGUCUUCUAACAUUAUCCUUGAUGGUGGAAUGUGCCGUCUUGUAGAGUUCAAAUAACAUUCGAUCCUUUUGUAUGUUGUGAGAUAGUUGUUGAAGUAUGAAUGAAUUUGGAUUGUUCUGUUUUCGAAGCCGUUUGUUUUACCUUUAUCAUUAAUGAAACUUGUUUUUCUUGUCAAAAGCAAGAAAUUGUUACGGUUCAUGCUAUUUGUCCUCGAAUUCGAAUUAAUGGAAAGCAUUCUCUGCAUUA
Molecule: small RNA, 618 nt
Filed under: Malus domestica (apple)
Lineage: Eukaryota; Viridiplantae; Streptophyta; Magnoliopsida; Rosales; Rosaceae
Description: sRNA MD04G0051200
Source: RNAcentral